RNAcentral lists this long non-coding RNA (343 nucleotides) under Gallus gallus (chicken). Lineage: Eukaryota; Metazoa; Chordata; Aves; Galliformes; Phasianidae. The record is from RNAcentral.
CUCAGGAUUCCAUACAUAUGCUUUUCCAUCUUCACUUCCAGAAAAAAGAAAUGUACCACAUGGAGUUAAAGUGCUGUGAAUCUUCUCUCUGUAAUUUGUAGCACCUAUAUAUUUCUUUGUAGCCAAGAUUCUGAGAUCUGUAAUUCUCAGGGUACUGUCUUUGGCAUGGAUUAAUAAACGUCUGCCAUUUGGAUGCACCUCCAAAUGAUUUAUUGGAGUUCCUCUAAGAUCAUUUUCUUUUAUUUCUUUAUUAAUCCUCCAGUGUUGAAACAGGCAUUGAGAACUUCCUUUCACAGAUGUAUCCCAAACUAUUAUCAGUCCUGAACUAUCUCCUGAGAACAUG